GGGGGCGGGGCAACCUAACCAUGCAAGUCGAGCGGUACACAGGGAGCUUGCUCCUGGGUGACGAGCGGCGGACGGGUGAGUAAUGUCUGGGAAACUGCCUGAUGGAGGGGGAUAACUACUGGAAACGGUAGCUAAUACCGCAUAACGUCGCAAGACCAAAGAGGGGGACCUUCGGGCCUCUUGCCAUCAGAUGUGCCCAGAUGGGAUUAGCUAGUAGGUGGGGUAACGGCUCACCUAGGCGACGAUCCCUAGCUGGUCUGAGAGGAUGACCAGCCACACUGGAACUGAGACACGGUCCAGACUCCUACGGGAGGCAGCAGUGGGGAAUAUUGCACAAUGGGCGCAAGCCUGAUGCAGCCAUGCCGCGUGUAUGAAGAAGGCCUUCGGGUUGUAAAGUACUUUCAGCGGGGAGGAAGGUGUUGAGGUUAAUAACCUCAGCAAUUGACGUUACCCGCAGAAGAAGCACCGGCUAACUCCGUGCCAGCAGCCGCGGUAAUACGGAGGGUGCAAGCGUUAAUCGGAAUUACUGGGCGUAAAGCGCACGCAGGCGGUCUGUCAAGUCGGAUGUGAAAUCCCCGGGCUCAACCUGGGAACUGCAUUCGAAACUGGCAGGCUAGAGUCUUGUAGAGGGGGGUAGAAUUCCAGGUGUAGCGGUGAAAUGCGUAGAGAUCUGGAGGAAUACCGGUGGCGAAGGCGGCCCCCUGGACAAAGACUGGCGCUCAGGUGCGAAAGCCUGGGGAGGAAACAGGAUUAGAUACCCUGGGAAUCCACGCCCCAAAACAUAUCCACAUUGAAGGUGUGCCCCUGAGAGGCGGGCUUCCCGAAAUAACACGCUUAUACGCCCACCCUCGGGGGGUACUACCGCCGAGGGUGAUACAUUUCAUAUAUUUAUCGGAGGGGCGCCCCACAACAGGCGGUGGAAUGGGGUGAUUUUAUUUCGAUGCAAGGGAGAAGUAUCCUAACUUAGUCGUGGCCGGCAGGAGUUCUUUACAAGAAGUUGGGUUCGUCUGCUAGCAGAAAAAUAAAAAAAGGCGGGUGCUU
This 1041-nucleotide ribosomal RNA is filed under the name Enterobacter kobei. RNAcentral describes it as "bacterial SSU rRNA". The stretch from base 1 to 843 matches the Rfam family "Bacterial small subunit ribosomal RNA", at positions 38 to 873 of the family's 1533-position model. Lineage: Bacteria; Pseudomonadati; Pseudomonadota; Gammaproteobacteria; Enterobacterales; Enterobacteriaceae. The record is from RNAcentral.